Molecule: ribosomal RNA, 253 nt
Filed under: uncultured bacterium
Lineage: Bacteria
Description: partial 16S ribosomal RNA
Rfam family: Bacterial small subunit ribosomal RNA
Source: RNAcentral
UACGUAGGGUGCGAGCGUUAAUCGGAAUUACUGGGCGUAAAGCGUGCGCAGGCGGUUCGUUGUGUCGGUGGUGAAAUCCCCGGGCUUAACCUGGGAAUGGCCAUGGAAACUGGCGAACUGGAGUGUGGCAGAGGGGGGUGGAAUUCCGCGUGUAGCAGUGAAAUGCGUAGAGAUGCGGAGGAACACCGAUGGCGAAGGCAGCCCCCUGGGCCGACACUGACGCUCAGGCACGAAAGCGUGGGGAGCAAACAGG